AGGAAAGCAGGGCUGCUUGGCAGAGGGAAGACACACAGGGGUCGGGAAGGGAACCUCGGGGCUGGGGCUGGGGCUGGGGCUGGGGGGGCGGGGCCUGCAGCUGGCGGUGGAGGCGGCUGCGGGCUCGGGCGGGACCGCGCCGCCCGGGUCGCCGGGGUCGCCGGGGUCGCGCGGGCCGGGUCUGCUGGGCCGCCCGCCGCCGCCCGAGGCCUCCGCCGCAGCCCGGGAGCCCGCGCCAUCCGCGCUCCGGGCCGCGAGGCGGCUUCCCGGGCGCCAGGCCUCGCUCUCGCGGCUUUGAAAAGUUUCCAGCGCGCGUGCCACGGCGGCGGGCGGCGGCUGGGCCGGAGCCCACGCGGCCCGCGCCCCCCGCGGGGAACUUCGCGGCGCUCGGCCGCCCUGUCACUCUCGCUUUCCGACGCGCCUCCCCCCGGGCUCGCGCGCCCCGAGCCCCCGCCCCCGCCCCCCGCCCCUCCCGCGGGGACCUUCCCGGGCGCCCGCCGCUCGCGUCCCCGCCGCCCCGCGCUCCGCCCGCCCCGCCCCGCCCCGCGCCCCCCGCGCCCGCGCCCGCGCCCCGCGCCCCGCGCCUCGCCUCCCAAGCCCGCCCGGCGGCGUCCCGCGCCCGGAGAGCGGCCCCCGGAGCGGGCAGCGGGGCGCGGGGGGCGGGGAGCGGAGGGGAGGAGGGGACCCGCCGCCAGGGGCCGGCUGCUAGCUUCCAGCCGACUUUUCGCCAAUGGUCCAGAGCGACAUGUCCAAGUCGCCUCCCACAGCGGCGGCGGCGGCGGCGGCGGCGGCGCAGGAGAUCCCGAUGGAGCUGCUGGAGAGCGCGGCGCCCGCGGGGGCGCUCGGAGCGGCCGCACAGGUAGCCGGGGCCGCGCCUGCUCCUUCUUUGUGAGCCGCGGGGGCGCCGACCCCCUCCCCCUCCCCCUCCCCCCUUCUCCUCCGCUGCGGUCCCUCGCCUCGCCUCGCCUCGCCUCGCCUGGUGCCCCCGACCCCACCUCGCCCGCGGCCGCCCACUCUCCUCUCCCCGCGCCGGGGACCCUGCCCUCGUCGCCGGUCCCCCCGCUCUCCUGCGGCUUCCAUCUUUCUCCGCUUCCGAAAAGCAAGUGGGAAGGGGCGGGGGAGACCCGCCGGGGCUCAGAGGCGGCCCCCGGGAGGGCGCCCGCUCAGCCCCCCCCCCCCCUCGCCCCUUCCCGGGAGAGGCACAUGGAGAGACAUGAACCAGGCGAGCGGACUGGACCUGCUCAGGAUCGUGAGUCGGGGCGGGCGGGAGGGGCUCGGCGCGCACGCCCACCCUGGGGGCGAGUGGGAGCCGGGCUGGGCGGGGGGCGCCACCCUGCGCCGCGGCCCGCACCCCCGCCCUCCGCACCUGGGCGUCCCGCCGCCUGGACGGCCGCGCUGCCCUCGCCUCUCGCCGCCGCUCGCCUGCGCCCCUCGCUCCUCGCCCUGCAGCCCGCGAGCCGGGGGCGCCAAAGUUUGUCCGUGCCCCCCCCCCCCCCCCCCGCCCCGGAGCGCUGGCCAGGUCCAGACAGCUCGGGACCACCUUCCCGGCGACGGGUGCUAGCGGGUUCGCGGCUCCUGGUGAAACAGGAGAUGCCGGUCUAG
RNAcentral lists this long non-coding RNA (1602 nucleotides) under Canis lupus dingo (dingo). RNAcentral describes it as "lncRNA (ENSCAFG00020009708.1)". The record is from RNAcentral. Lineage: Eukaryota; Metazoa; Chordata; Mammalia; Carnivora; Canidae.